AUACGGAGGGUGCAAGCGUUGUUCGGAAUCACUGGGUGUAAAGGGCGCGCAGGCGGUUUGGUAAGUCAGAUGUGAAAGCCCAUGGCUCAACCAUGGAAGUGCAUUUGAAACUGUCAGACUUGAGUACUAGAGGGGAAAGUGGAAUUCCCGGUGUAGAGGUGAAAUUCGUAGAUAUCGGGAGGAAUACCGGUGGCGAAGGCGACUUUCUGGCUAGAUACUGACGCUGAGGCGCGAAAGCGUGGGGAGCAAACAGGAUUAGAAACCCCUGUAGUCC
This 274-nucleotide ribosomal RNA is filed under the name uncultured bacterium. RNAcentral's name for it is "partial 16S ribosomal RNA". It matches the Rfam family "Bacterial small subunit ribosomal RNA", at positions 523 to 796 of the family's 1533-position model. The record is from RNAcentral.